This 195-nucleotide unclassified non-coding RNA is filed under the name rhizosphere metagenome. Its description in RNAcentral is "partial ribosomal RNA internal transcribed spacer region". The record is from RNAcentral.
GAGUUCUCGCCCUAACGGGUAGACCUCCCACCCACUGUGAUUGUUACCGUCGUUGCUUUGGCGGGCCGCUGGGCCUAGCCCGGCCACCGGCCCCGGCUGGUGCGCGCCCGCCAGAGGCUCCGCAAACUCUAGAUGUCUACGUCGUCUGAGUACUAUAUAAUAGUUAAAACUUUCAACAACGGAUCUCUUGGUUCU